CCUACGGGUGGCAGCAGUGAGGAAUAUUGGUCAAUGGGCGCGAGCCUGAACCAGCCAAGUAGCGUGAAGGAUGACUGCCCUACGGGUUGUAAACUUCUUUUAUAAAGGAAUAAAGUGAUGCACGUGUGCCUUUUUGUAUGUACUUUAUGAAUAAGGAUCGGCUAACUCCGUUCCAGCAGCCGCGGUAAUACGGAGGAUCCGAGCGUUAUCCGGAUUUAUUGGGUUUAAAGGGAGCGUAGGUGGGUUGUUAAGUCAGUUGUGAAAGCUUGCGGCUCAACCGGAAAAGUGCAAUUGAUACUGGCAGACUUGAGUACAGUAGAGGUGAGCGGAAUUCGUGGUGUAGCGGUGAAAUGCUUAGAUAUCACGAAGAACUCCGAUUGCGAAGGCAGCCCACUAGACUGCAACUGACACUGAUGCUCGAAAGUGUGGGUAUCAAACAGGAUUAGAUACCCUAGUAGUC
RNAcentral lists this ribosomal RNA (460 nucleotides) under uncultured bacterium. Its description in RNAcentral is "partial 16S ribosomal RNA". It matches the Rfam family "Bacterial small subunit ribosomal RNA", at positions 338 to 795 of the family's 1533-position model. The record is from RNAcentral.